This 252-nucleotide ribosomal RNA is filed under the name uncultured bacterium. Its description in RNAcentral is "partial 16S ribosomal RNA". It matches the Rfam family "Bacterial small subunit ribosomal RNA", at positions 524 to 776 of the family's 1533-position model. The record is from RNAcentral.
UACGAAGGACCCGAGCGUUAUCCGGAUUUAUUGGGUUAAAGGGUGCGUAGGCGGCCCUGUAAGUCAGUGGUGAAAUACUGCAGCUUAACUGUAGCAUUGCCAUUGAUACUGUAGGGCUUGAGUACAGAUGAGGUAGGCGGAAUUGAUGGUGUAGCGGUGAAAUGACAUAGAUACAUCAAGAACACCGAUUGCGAAGGCAGCUUACUAAGCUGUAACUGACGCUGAGGCACGAAAGCGUGGGGAUCGAACAGG